This is a long non-coding RNA of Felis catus (domestic cat), 606 nucleotides long. RefSeq lists it as uncharacterized. Lineage: Eukaryota; Metazoa; Chordata; Mammalia; Carnivora; Felidae. The transcript has 5 exons. The record is from RefSeq and is a predicted model, not a curated record.
UGCCCUGAAUAAGCAAAGAGCAGAAAGCAAGCUCGACUCCUUUUUGGGGGGUUUUGUUUCGACCAAGAUUUAAAUGUCAAUUUCAAGUUAAUUGUAUCUACUGUUGGUUCUCAUUAGGGGCGUUGUAGGAAAGCACUGAAGAGAAUCCUCUCUCAAACCUACACUCCUCUACUCUUCCCUGCCUUCGCUCGGCCACACAACUGCACCAUGGAACCUGAUUCAGAUCACCCAGGAAACCUGCUGGUCAGACAGAGCUGAGUUAUCGAGCGCCUGGCAAGGACGGACAUUAGCUGACAGUCUUAGUAAUGAUUCUAAAGGAGAUGGCUGUCCAGUUGCCCAGCGUCAGUUAUUACAAAGGCCAUCCUUUCUCCACUGCCCUUCGAUGCGUUUUAUUUGUAAGUCGCCCGUCUGCGUACGCUCAGGUCUACUUCUGGGCUCUCUGCCACGUGCCAGCGGCCGAAUCUCACUCCUGCGGCGUCUCAGGGCAACUUGUCAGGUUCUACAAGAAGAUACUGCCAGGGGGUUGAUCGGAACUGCAUCACACUUAGAUCAACUUUAGGAGUGUCCUUUGAUGCACAAAAGAUGUUAAGUUUAGGGGCGCCUGGG